RNAcentral lists this ribosomal RNA (817 nucleotides) under uncultured bacterium. Its description in RNAcentral is "bacterial SSU rRNA". It matches the Rfam family "Bacterial small subunit ribosomal RNA", at positions 8 to 853 of the family's 1533-position model. The record is from RNAcentral.
AGAGUUUGAUCCUGGCUCAGGAUGAACGCUGGCGGCGUGCCUAACACAUGCAAGUCGAGCGAUUUUCUUCGGAAGAGAGCGGCGGACGGGUGAGUAACGCGUGGGUAACCUGCCUCAUACACAUGGAUAACAUACCGAAAGGUAUGCUAAUACAAGAUGAUAUAAGAGAUUCGCAUGGAUUUCUUAUCAAAGCUCCGGCGGUAUGAGAUGGACCCGCGUCUGAUUAGCUAGUUGGUAAGGUAACGGCUUACCAAGGCGACGAUCAGUAGCCGACCUGAGAGGGUGAUCGGCCACAUUGGAACUGAGACACGGUCCAAACUCCUACGGGAGGCAGCAGUGGGGAAUAUUGCACAAUGGGCGAAAGCCUGAUGCAGCAACGCCGCGUGAGCGACGAAGGCCUUCGGGUCGUAAAGCUCUGUCCUCCAAGGAAGAUAAUGACGGUACUUGAGGAGGAAGCCCCGGCUAACUACGUGCCAGCAGCCGCGGUAAUACGUAGGGGGCUAGCGUUAUCCGGAUUUACUGGGCGUAAAGGGUGCGUAGGUGGUUUCUUAAGUCAGGAGUGAAAGGCUACGGCUCAACCGUAGUAAGCUCUUGAAACUGGGAAACUUGAGUGCAGGAGAGGAAAGUGGAAUUCCUAGUGUAGCGGUGAAAUGCGUAGAUAUUAGGAGGAACACCAGUAGCGAAGGCGGCUUUCUGGACUGUAACUGACACUGAGGCACGAAAGCGUGGGGAGCAAACAGGAUUAGAUACCCUGGUAGUCCACGCCGUAAACGAUGAGUACUAGGUGUCGGGGGUUACCCCCCUCGGUGCCGCAGCU